GUGGCUAACCAAUGGAUUAAGGGUUACAAAACCAUAAGUGGCAAUAAGGAGGGAAAUAAAAGGCCAAAAGAUGUGUUUUGCUGUCAGUUGAUGAUGGCACGGCCGUGCCAUACUUUAGGGCGCGUCCAUAUAGCUUCUGUAAGGCUUAGCACGGGCGUGUGGAUAUUGACACAGCCGUGUGAGGCUUCAAAAUGUUGAAAACUUGACUUUUCAUCUUUUCUUCCCUUAAGUGAAG
Molecule: long non-coding RNA, 235 nt
Filed under: Trifolium pratense (red clover)
Lineage: Eukaryota; Viridiplantae; Streptophyta; Magnoliopsida; Fabales; Fabaceae
Description: long non-coding RNA (TPRA_LNC008433)
Source: RNAcentral